UACGUAGGGGGGCAAGCGUUGUCCGGAUUUAUUGGGCGUAAAGAGCGUGUAGGCGGCUUUACAGGUCCGUUGUGAAAACUCGAGGCUCAACCUCGAGACGCCGGUGGAAACCGUAAAGCUAGAGUCCGGAAGAGGAGAGUGGAAUUCCUGGUGUAGCGGUGAAAUGCGCAGAUAUCAGGAGGAACACCGGUGGCGAAGGCGGGUCUCUGGGCCGAUACUGACGCUGAGGAGCGAAAGCGUGGGGAGCGAACAGG
Molecule: ribosomal RNA, 254 nt
Filed under: uncultured bacterium
Lineage: Bacteria
Description: partial 16S ribosomal RNA
Rfam family: Bacterial small subunit ribosomal RNA
Source: RNAcentral